RNAcentral lists this long non-coding RNA (269 nucleotides) under Mytilus galloprovincialis (Mediterranean mussel). Lineage: Eukaryota; Metazoa; Mollusca; Bivalvia; Mytilida; Mytilidae. The record is from RNAcentral.
GUUAAACGUGCAUAUAAUAGAAUAAAUAUCCUUAGGAAGAUGCGUUUUAUACUGAAUAGGUUCACUUUAGAAAAAAUGUAUUUUUCAUAUAUUCGACCAAUAUUAGAGUACGGGGAUGUCAUUUGGGAUAAUCAAACACAAUACUUGAUUAAUAAAGUGGAAAAUGUUCAAAUUGAAGCUAUGAGAAUUGUAACAGGUGGGAAUAAAUUAACUUCGAUACAGAUGCUUUAUGAGGAAACGGGUUGGGAAACACUUUCAGAAAGAAGGGA